UGCAGUGUAGCUCAGUGAUGAGAGUACUUGCCUAGCAUGCCUGACGGCCUGGGUUUGAUCCCAGCACUGAAA
Heterocephalus glaber (naked mole-rat) is the source of this 72-nucleotide non-coding RNA. The record is from Rfam. Lineage: Eukaryota; Metazoa; Chordata; Mammalia; Rodentia; Bathyergidae.